RNAcentral lists this ribosomal RNA (491 nucleotides) under uncultured bacterium. RNAcentral describes it as "partial 16S ribosomal RNA". It matches the Rfam family "Bacterial small subunit ribosomal RNA", at positions 29 to 507 of the family's 1533-position model. The record is from RNAcentral.
AGUGAACGCUGGCGGUAGGCCUAACACAUGCAAGUCGAACGGCAGCACAGUAAGAGCUUGCUCUUACGGGUGGCGAGUGGCGGACGGGUGAGGAAUACAUCGGAAUCUACUUUUUCGUGGGGGAUACGUAGGGAAACUUACGCUCAUACCGCAUACGACCUACGGGUGAAAGCAGGGGAUCUUCGUACCUUGCGCGAUUGAAUGAGCCGAUGUCGGAUUAGCUAGUUGGCGGGGUAAAGGCCCACCAAGGCGACGAUCCGUAGCUGGUCUGAGGGGAUGAUCAGCCACACUGGAACUGAGACACGGUCCAGACUCCUACGGGAGGCAGCAGUGGGGAAUAUUGGACAAUGGGCGCAAGCCUGAUCCAGCCAUACCGCGUGGGUGAAGAAGGCCUUCGGGUUGUAAAGCCCUUUUGUUGGGAAAGAAAAGCAGCAGGUUAAUACCCAGCUGUUCUGACGGUACCCAAAGAAUAAGCACCGGCUAACUUCGUG